CCGGGGAACAUCGAGUCUUUGAACGCAAGUUGCGCCCGAUGCCAUUAGGUUGAGGGCACGUCUGCCUGGGUGUCACAUAUCGAAGCCUCCUUGCCAAUUUCCCUGAUUAUUGUGCAGGGUGGAUGUUGGCCUCCCGUGAGCUCUUUCGUCUCAUGGUUGGUUGAAAAUUGAGACCUUGGUAGGGUGUGCCAUGAUAGAUGGUGGUUGUGUGACCCACGAGACCAAUCAUGCGCUGCUCUAUUGAAUUUGGCCUCCUUUACCCAUAUGCGUUUCCAAACGCUCGUGAUGAGACCUCAGGUCAGGCGGGGCUACCCGCUGAAUUUAAGCAUAUCAAUAAGCGGAGGAAAAGAAACUAACAAGGAUUCCCUUAGUAACGGCGAGCGAACCGGGAUAAGCCCACCAUGAGAAUCGGUCGCCCUCGGCGUUCGAAUUGUAUCGAAAAAAAACGUCAAAAGUGGAAA
Molecule: ribosomal RNA, 461 nt
Filed under: Vicia faba (fava bean)
Lineage: Eukaryota; Viridiplantae; Streptophyta; Magnoliopsida; Fabales; Fabaceae
Description: eukaryotic LSU rRNA
Rfam family: Eukaryotic large subunit ribosomal RNA (bases 289-461)
Source: RNAcentral